UGGGGAAUAUUGGACAAUGGGGGCAACCCUGAUCCAGCGAUGCCGCGUGUGUGAAGAAGGCCUGCGGGUUGUAAAGCACUUUAGUUGGGGAGGAAAGGUAUGUACUGCAUAAGUGCAUGCUGUGACGUUACCCAAAGAAUAAGCACCGGCAAACUCUGUGCCAGCAGCCGCGGUAAUACAGAGGGUGCAAGCGUUGUUCGGAUUUACUGGGCGUAAAGGGCGCGUAGGCGGCAUGACAAGUCACUUGUGAAAUCUCUGGGCUUAACCCAGAACGGCCAAGUGAUACUGUCGCGCUAGAGUGCAGAAGGGGCAAUCGGAAUUCUUGGUGUAGCGGUGAAAUGCGUAGAUAUCAAGAGGAACACCUGAGGUGAAGACGGGUUGCUGGGCUGACACUGACGCUGAGGCGCGAAAGCCAGGGGAGCAAACGGGAUUAGAUACCCAAGUAGUCCCUGAGCGGGCUGGCAAGGCGCAU
Molecule: ribosomal RNA, 472 nt
Filed under: uncultured bacterium
Lineage: Bacteria
Description: bacterial SSU rRNA
Rfam family: Bacterial small subunit ribosomal RNA
Source: RNAcentral